GACGAACGCUGGCGGCGUGCCUAAUACAUGCAAGUAGAACGCUGAAGACUUUAGCUUGCUAAAGUUGGAAGAGUUGCGAACGGGUGAGUAACGCGUAGGUAACCUGCCUACUAGCGGGGGAUAACUAUUGGAAACGAUAGCUAAUACCGCAUAACAGCAUUUAACCCAUGUUAGAUGCUUGAAAGGAGCAAUUGCUUCACUAGUAGAUGGACCUGCGUUGUAUUAGCUAGUUGGUGAGGUAACGGCUCACCAAGGCGACGAUACAUAGCCGACCUGAGAGGGUGAUCGGCCACACUGGGACUGAGACACGGCCCAGACUCCUACGGGAGGCAGCAGUAGGGAAUCUUCGGCAAUGGGGGCAACCCUGACCGAGCAACGCCGCGUGAGUGAAGAAGGUUUUCGGAUCGUAAAGCUCUGUUGUAAGAGAAGAACGUGUGUGAGAGUGGAAAGUUCACACAGUGACGGUA
Molecule: ribosomal RNA, 467 nt
Filed under: uncultured bacterium
Lineage: Bacteria
Description: bacterial SSU rRNA
Rfam family: Bacterial small subunit ribosomal RNA
Source: RNAcentral